AUGCUUGUAUUGUUCAAGUUGAGCACUAACACAGGCUUGUGUUGCCAUUUUCAGGAUUGCAUUGGGGCAAUAGAUGGUACUCAUGUCACUACCAGAGUUCCUAAGUCACAGUCAGCAGCAUACAGGGGGAGGAAGCACUACACAAGCCAGAAUGUGCUUGCUGCUGUUGACUUUGAUCUGAAGAUCACAUAUGUGCUAGCUGGCUGGAAGGGGUCAACGCAUAAUGCUAACAUUCUCACUGACAGCAUGAGUCGACCUGAUGGGAUCAACAUCCCCGACGGCAAGUUCUACCUUGGAGAUGCUGGCUAUGCAUGUCGGCCGGGUAUUCUUCCACCCUUCAGGAAAACAAGGUACAAUCUCAACGAGUUCUCUGGUAGGAACUAUCCUAGGACUGCACAGGAGCUGUUUAAUCUCAGACACUCCAGCCUUAGAGUAACUGUUGAGAGGGCAUUUGGAGCUCUGAAGAAUAGGUUUAAGAUCCUGGAUCAGAAGCCAUUCCACCCAUACUCCACUCAGGUUAAGCUAGUUCUUGCUUGUUGCAUUCUGCAUAACUGGAUCCUUCAGUGGGGCUUUGAUGAACACGUGCCUGAGGAAGACGAUGUCGAGCCUGACGAUGUUGUUAGCUCCGGCCAUGGUGUGGAGGCAUUUGACAAUGGCGCUUGGAAGAACAAAAGGUUGGAGUGGGCAGAGGCGAUGUGGCUUAACAGAGGUCAGUGCAGGAUUUGA
RNAcentral lists this ribosomal RNA (726 nucleotides) under Triticum aestivum (bread wheat). RNAcentral describes it as "partial small subunit ribosomal RNA". Lineage: Eukaryota; Viridiplantae; Streptophyta; Magnoliopsida; Poales; Poaceae. The record is from RNAcentral.